Molecule: non-coding RNA, 73 nt
Organism: Ataeniobius toweri
Lineage: Eukaryota; Metazoa; Chordata; Actinopteri; Cyprinodontiformes; Goodeidae
Source: the annotation of a GenBank genome assembly
UGCAUGGUGGUGCAGUUGGUAGCAUGGUUGCCUUGCAACCAGAAGGUCCUGGGUUCAACGCCCAGCUGGGGAU